AAAGUUAUGUGUUGUCUGUAUCGUUAUAUCCCUUUCCAUUGGGAUGUGUAAACAAGCUGCUUGCUUGAUUUGUUCUCCCUCUACUUCGUACAAACUCCCUGUGCAUAAAAAAUCAUCUUACAAUUAAACGUGCUCAGCAAUGCAUGCAUAUAUUUAUAUUAUGUACAGUUGGAACUCGAAAGAAAUCUGAUUAUAAAAUUUGUCUGGGUUGGUUGGGUCAGUAUCCUGAUCAAUUUUCUGGAUAAAGCUUUCAUUUGGGAUUUGCAGAAAACAUACAUUAAUAUAUCUAUAGCGCUAGUCAUAAACGUGAUAUAUUUCAUCGAUGCAAGAAUUGUUGAUUAAUUGAUAAAGUUAUAUUAGUAAUUUCAAGUGUCAUUUCUUUUAAGAAAGGACAUUUUAACUGAGUAGUUAUUCAGUUACAGUUGGUGCCUUGGAAUUGUCCGAACAGAAAGUGUGUGCCUCUGUAUUCCUAAAACUGUCGUUUUUCUUAACAUUUCUAGCUGUCUUUCUUCGUUUUAAGUGCUUUGUAACCUACAAAUAAAUCAACAGACAACAAAUUACCUAAAAAGAGGCAUAACAACAUUCAAUUCUUAGUUGAGUAAGAAAGUAGCAUACCGUGAAUGUGAAUAAACGCCAGGAAACGGUUUUGAUCACCAUCCUGCCAGAAAUAGAACAUUAAUUUAGGUAUGCAAUAAUCUCAAAGUAAAAAAAUUUGAUAUGGAAGAUGUAAGAUGGAAGUAGCAGCUUCUCACAUACUUUGGACAUGAUCUAUGAACCGCGAGAAGAACGGAGAGGGAUGAAGAGUGGAUAUGGCUGCCGAAAGAAACAAAUGAGAGAAGCUUCUGCAUGUCAUUUGUAAAUAAAGCUUCUGUUUGAAGCUUUAGACAAUUGGUAGACAAUUG
Molecule: long non-coding RNA, 902 nt
Filed under: Daucus carota (carrot)
Lineage: Eukaryota; Viridiplantae; Streptophyta; Magnoliopsida; Apiales; Apiaceae
Description: long non-coding RNA (DCAR_LNC001172)
Source: RNAcentral